AUUGAACGCUGGCGGCAGGCCUAACACAUGCAAGUCGAGCGGUAGAGAGAAGCUUGCUUCUCUUGAGAGCGGCGGACGGGUGAGUAAUGCCUAGGAAUCUGCCUGGUAGUGGGGGAUAACGUUCGGAAACGGACGCUAAUACCGCAUACGUCCUACGGGAGAAAGCAGGGGACCUUCGGGCCUUGCGCUAUCAGAUGAGCCUAGGUCGGAUUAGCUAGUUGGUGAGGUAAUGGCUCACCAAGGCGACGAUCCGUAACUGGUCUGAGAGGAUGAUCAGUCACACUGGAACUGAGACACGGUCCAGACUCCUACGGGAGGCAGCAGUGGGGAAUAYUGGMCAAUGGGCGAAAGCCUGAUCCAGCCAUGCCGCGUGUGUGAAGAAGGUCUUCGGAUUGUAAAGCACUUUAAGUUGGGAGGAAGGGCAUUAACCUAAUACGUUAGUGUUUUGACGUUACCGACAGAAUAAGCACCGGCUAA
This 477-nucleotide ribosomal RNA is filed under the name Pseudomonas sp. Its description in RNAcentral is "bacterial SSU rRNA". It matches the Rfam family "Bacterial small subunit ribosomal RNA", at positions 30 to 500 of the family's 1533-position model. Lineage: Bacteria; Pseudomonadati; Pseudomonadota; Gammaproteobacteria; Pseudomonadales; Pseudomonadaceae. The record is from RNAcentral.